UUGGAGGGCAAGUCUGGUGCCAGCAGCCGCGGUAAUUCCAGCUCCAAUAGCGUAUAUUAAAGUUGUUGCAGUUAAAAAGCUCGUAGUUGAAUUUCGGAGUUUGUCGGUUGGUCGGGCUUCAUUGUCCGCACUGGCCUGAUGGAUUCCUACCUUCUGAAUAACCAGCAUGCUAUUAAGUUAGUGCGUUGGGGAAGCAGAGCUAUUACCUUGAAAAAAUUAGAGUGCUUAAAGCAGGCUUAUGCUUGAAUAGAUUAGCAUGGAAUAAUAAAAUAGGACGGCAUGGUUCUAUUUUGUUGGUUUCUAGGAUCACCGUAAUGAUUAAUAGGGAUAGUUGGGGGCAUUAGUAUUCAAUUGUCAGAGGUGAAAUUCUUGGACUUAUUGAAGACUAACUUCUGCGAAAGCAUUUGCCAAGGAUGUUUUCAUUAAUCAAGAACGAAAGUUAGGGGAUCGAAGACGAUCAGAUACCGUCGUAGUCUUAACCAUAAACUAUGCCGACUAGGGAUCGGACGAUGUUAAUUUUUUAAUGACUCGUUCGGCGCCUUACGGGAAAC
This 551-nucleotide ribosomal RNA is filed under the name uncultured Glomeromycotina. RNAcentral describes it as "SSU rRNA". It matches the Rfam family "Eukaryotic small subunit ribosomal RNA", at positions 548 to 1098 of the family's 1831-position model. Lineage: Eukaryota; Fungi; Glomeromycota. The record is from RNAcentral.